Long non-coding RNA from Raphanus sativus (radish), 1172 nucleotides. RefSeq lists it as uncharacterized. The transcript has 4 exons. The record is from RefSeq and is a predicted model, not a curated record. Lineage: Eukaryota; Viridiplantae; Streptophyta; Magnoliopsida; Brassicales; Brassicaceae.
CAAAUAUACUUCAAAUCAAAUGCGGCUGUGGAGGUCGUUUUCGUAUUAGGGUCUCCGACUAGAUUUCCUCUCAGCCAUUCGAUGUCCAGACAGAACAAGAGUUCUUAGAGAGUUGUUUCAGCUUCAUAUGCUAAUGAUCUAUAUCAGUUAAAGAUUCCCCAUUUUAAAGUCAUUCUUAAAUCAUCACCACUAUCUAUCCUGAAUACGAGCUUCUUCAUGCGAGGCGGUGAAACUUUGAUUACAAAAGGGAAGAUGCUCCUCAACCGCUCAAGUCCGGUUACUCCGCUUCUGGGAGGCCAGUAACGUCCGAUGCAGCGCGAACUAAUGGGAGUCGAUAUGUGUCUGCUUGAUUCCCAGUCGACCAUGAUGCCGUCGACGGUGAAUGUGAACCGACUUGCAACUCACAUGCCUAAUCUGAAAGCGGGCUCACUAUAUUCUCUAGCCGGUUUGAUGUGGCCCGAUGUAAUCGGAAUUACCGACUGUCGGACUCCUCUAUGAUGAUUCGUUUCAGCGACUCAACCUCUUUUGAUGAGAUAACCGAACUGACUAUUCCGAUAGGUUUGAAAUCUUUCCGGUUCGUAAUCAUAGCGAGCUGCUUUGUCUUGCCAGCACAAACACUCAUCUUCCAGACAUCAUCGGUGAGAUAACUGAUGUGAAGAGCACUGUCACCGACCCUCCACAUGACAAGAACAGUUUGAUGGCAACCAUAAAAUGGAUAAUGAUGUUUCUGUAACUAUAUAUGAGUCUGUUUGACUCACAGGCUGUCAAGCUGAUGAUAGACUCCUAGGAUGCUUCUCUGAUCAGUAUGGGAUAGAUCCUUGCAAGUACGAGUCAAAGACUCAAUUUUCUUAAGGUUGUGGAUCGAAUGGUGACACAAGAGGUUGCGGAAAGACUCCUUGAUACUCCUAAGUGACUAGAUUGGAUAUGACACACCGAGAUAGACACUCUUGGGCUGUUGGAUAUUACACACCAACAAGAACUCUAGACUACUCGCAAGCAAGCAAAAGAGAGAACAAGGUUUUUGAUAAAAGAUGGAUGAUUCUUAUUAGGUUUGCGAGACUACAUAUAUAUAAGAAGAGACUUGUAUAUGCACAAGCUCUUGGAACUCAAAAACAAUAAAGGAACAGGCUCUUCUUGUUCUUCUUGUUUCGAAAUGUAGAAAAUAAAAGACA